GUGGGAACGGAGGCAGGGGAGUCGGGUAAACGGGGGCAGAGGUAAACGAGGACACAUGGAGGAGAGGACUGGAAGACGGAAGCCAAACCAGAUUAUUCCUUAACAGACUGGACGACGACCGGGAGAACCGGCCGUCAAAAUCGCCCCUCGCCCUCCGUGUCGCCCGCGGUUUCAGGGAGAGAACAAGCCCGGCUCCAUCAGCCCUGUUGAACAGCUGACCUGCCUCCAACACUGAGGGACACACGUACGUGUGACAUACUGUACCAGAUGAGUCAAAGCCAGGGAACAGAGGGUGGAUCAGACGAUAAGGAAACCUCUCCUCAUUCAUCAAGGAGGAAAAUUAAUGUGCAUUUUUAUUCAUAUGGCUUCAGCAAUUAACUGUUUCUAUUUACCAUCAUUUAGUUGUUUUAAUUUUUAACCGACUUGCACAGCCUGUCAUGGUUUUGAAAAGCUGUUGCUGUUUUUACAUCUUUUAUAUUCCAUUAUAUCAGUGUUUGUUUAUGAUGAGGAAAUUGACGUAACGACCUCAGUAACGCGACUUAUCUCGGUUUCUCCCCUAAUUUAUUACAAAACAGUUUCCAGUUUGCCUUUGUCAGGUCCUUCGGAGCAGGGACACCUCCUGACGGGACUCGGGGAACAAGUGUUUCAGAUGGGCCAUCAUGUAUAUACACUUACGUAGAGCUGAUAAAGGCAAACUAAUAGUUGUUUGUGUAUAUUCCCCAUGGACAUUGAAUGUGCUAAUUUCUCUGCUUCAUCUUUGCUUAAUCUUUGUUCUUACUCUGGAUGCUGAUUUGUAAUUCUUGAAAAGGUAAAUUGCCAUGUGAUUUGUAGCUACCUUGGUGACACAUUUUCUGUGGCUGUGCAUAUUGAUUGUACUUGAUGCAUAGUGCAUAGCGCCUCGUUAUUACUGUAUUAAAAGGCAGUAAAAUGCA
This is a long non-coding RNA of Xiphias gladius (swordfish), 932 nucleotides long. RefSeq lists it as uncharacterized. The transcript has 2 exons. The record is from RefSeq and is a predicted model, not a curated record. NCBI's taxonomy places the organism in Eukaryota, Metazoa, Chordata, Actinopteri, Istiophoriformes, Xiphiidae.